UGAAGACGGCCUUGGGGUUGUAAAGGUCUGUCUGUCGGGACGGAGACCGCCCCGCAUGGGCGGAGGGGACGGUACCGGCGGAGGAAGGCCCUGCUAACUACGGGCCAGCAGCCGCGGUAAGACGUAGGGGGCAAGCGUUGUCCGGAAUGAGUGGGCGUAAAGGGCGUGUAGGCGGUGCGUCACGUAGCGGUUUUCAGCCCCCCCCUAACCCGGAGGAGGGCGGCUAAACGGGCGCGCUGGAGGGCAGGAGAGGUGCACGGAAUUCCUGGUGGAGCGGUGAAAUGCGUAGAGGUCAGGAAGAACACCCGUGGCGAAGGCGGUGCACUGGCCUGACCCUGACGCUGAGGCGCGACAGCGUGGGGAGCNUACGGGAUUAUAUACCCCGUUAGUNCAAGCUCGUAAAGAAAUNGAUNGUAGUGUAAGGGGNNUCCAAGCCGCGUCGUGACNGGAUNGUCAGGGA
This 460-nucleotide ribosomal RNA is filed under the name uncultured Sulfobacillus sp. Its description in RNAcentral is "bacterial SSU rRNA". It matches the Rfam family "Bacterial small subunit ribosomal RNA", at positions 406 to 869 of the family's 1533-position model. The record is from RNAcentral. Lineage: Bacteria; Bacillati; Bacillota; Clostridia; Eubacteriales; Clostridiales Family XVII. Incertae Sedis.